CAUUAUCUUCCCAUAGGACAGAGCUUUACGACCCGAAGGCCUUCAUCGCUCACGCGGCGUUGCUGCAUCAGGCUUUCGCCCAUUGUGCAAUAUUCCCCACUGCUGCCUCCCGUAG
RNAcentral lists this ribosomal RNA (115 nucleotides) under uncultured bacterium. Its description in RNAcentral is "partial 16S ribosomal RNA". The record is from RNAcentral.